RNAcentral lists this long non-coding RNA (3197 nucleotides) under Brassica napus (rape). RNAcentral describes it as "long non-coding RNA (BNAP_LNC019187)". The record is from RNAcentral. Lineage: Eukaryota; Viridiplantae; Streptophyta; Magnoliopsida; Brassicales; Brassicaceae.
UCCCGUUCCACGACAUGAGUUUGACCGGCAACUCGUCUCUGAUCGGCUCCCAGUUGCUCUCGUGCUCCGCCUGACGAAACGGCGGCGUUUGGACGACUUUAUGGCCUGUGACACCGAGAAAGAACGACGACUCGCUCGCCGUUAGGUAUUUGCCGUAACAGCUCUUGAGACGGAUGAAAUUGGGCUUGCGUGGCACCAUCUCCACCGUCCAUACCGAUUGCCGUGACGUUCCGUCAGAGCUUUGACGGACGGCUUUUUCGUCGUCGACGGCGAAGAGGUAAUUUUCGUGACAGCUGCGUAAUCUAACGGCGGAACCUCUGGUGAAUAACUCCAUUUUUUCUUUCCCUCGUUUAGGACACGGCGAGAUUUUUUUGUUUUGAAAUGGUCGUAUGUUUUCUCCAUUUAUAUACGCUAUUUUCUUAUUAUUUGUUAUCCAAAUAUUACAAUUUCAUAGUAUUAAAUGUUUUCCGCGUAGAUAUGUUAGGAGAUUAUUAUGUUUCCUUCGUUAAAUUAUUAUUGUUAAUAUAUGAUGACAUUGUCAAUAAAAUUUUCCAGGCUGUUCAUCAAUAGUCUCUCGUCCAGAUGUCAGCAGCAAAGCCUCUUGUUCCCUUUAAUAAUAGUAGUUGUAAUUUAUGGUUUUUAUAUUAUAUCAUUAAAAGUCAAAUUUCUUUUUAUUUUUAUUUUUAUUUUUACUAGAGUUUGAUACUUAGAUUAUAUAACAAAACAUAGAGAUUAUGUUAUUUUUUUUGUGGGAACAAGAUAUUAUGUUAUAUAUUAUGAAUUUUUAACAGGUCAAAGUGAUAAAUGACAUACUAACUAAAUCUCAGCAAAGGUAAAACUAGCAGAUUUUUUGUAAUGUAAACUUUAUUGUUCACAUUUCACACAAUGUAAUCCAGAAUAAAUAUAUAAAGCUAAAGUAAAAUGUCAGUGUUUGUUAAUACUUUUCCUAAACUGGUAAAUACAAUUUUUGAGAUUUUGUUUUGCAAUAUAUAGAUUAAUUCUGAAAAGAAAACAAUUUUUAAGUAUUUAAAUGAAAUGACAUGACAACUGUUUAAUAUUUUUAUGAAAUUUUAAUAUUUUUUAAUUUAUUUGAUAAAUUGUUUGAUAUAUAUUUUUGAUGAAUUUUUAAUUAUAAAAAUUAUAUGAUGUCAAUUUAUUUAACCUAAUAUUUUAUUUAUAUACAUGAUUUAAUUUAAUAUGAAAGCUUAUUUAAUUUUAAAUGAAAGGAGUUUUUUUAUUUAUGAAAGUAUAAAUAAAAUAAUCUAUUAAUUUAACUUAUUUAAAAUUAACUAAAAUUAUUUUGUAGUAUCUAAACUUGCACACACAAAAAAACAAUUAUACAUUUUUCAACGUUUUAUAUUAUUUAGUUGAGUCUAUAUGUUGAUGGAAAAAAUAUAUUUUUGACUAAAGAUUGAGACCAUUAAAAUGUUUCUGUUUUAAUAAAAGAGGUUAUAUAAUAUAGCAUAUGACUAAAUCUUAGAUCCACUAAAAUGUUUAUAUUUGAAUAAGAAAUAUUUAUUAAGUUAUUUGAAAGAAAAUAAACAAGAAUUUAUUAAAAAAAGUUGAUUCAAUGUUUAUGUUGUUUAGACUCAAAUUUAAUUAUUGAGUUUUUGGAAACAUAUAUAGUACUAUAAUGUUGUUUCUAUAAUAUCUUUAUGAAGUUUUAGUAUUUUCAUUAAUUACCAGUGAUAUUUUAUGUAAUAUAAGAUAUGACUAAAUGUUAGGUUAUUUAAAAUAUUUCUGUUUUAAUAAAAAAUAUUAUAUAAUGUAACAUAUGAGUAAGAAAUAUUAUAUAAUGUAACAUUAUAAAGAUAUAUUUGCUAAAUCCUCUUUCUGAGAAAAAAACGUUUGUAUUCUAAAAACAAUGGAGAUGAAAAGAAUGGUUUUAUUUAUGGUGAUGAUGUUGACGAUCGGAAACCUUAUGGUUGAGUCGAAAGUUACAAACAGAAGUUUUCAGCUAUGUUUCAAGAUGUGUUUUAACAUAUGUAUCAUUGGCCCACCACGAGACAAAUUUGGAUGUUUCGGUAAAUGUACUAGGGAAUGUACUGGGAAAAAAAUCGAAAUCAAUUGUGUUUCUUCUCAAGAUCCGAGUAAGUUUAAUUCUCCAAUAAUCGUAUAUUUUAUAUAAAUGUAUAUUUAUAUUCACUGAGCAUUAUUUUUUUUUGCUAAAAUCUACUUAUAUCUUUGUCUUUUUGUUGUUGUGUGUCGGCCCAUUACCACACUCUCCUCGUUAUCAUCUGCAAUUAAAUAUUUCUCGUGUGUGCGCAGUCUCACCGAUUUCGCAAUGCGAAAGAUAUCAAUCGCUGAUGAAUGUUCAUCAAAUUUCGUCGAAUUUUUUUUCUGUUCCAAAAUCAAAUUAUAAAUUAAUCACCAAAUUAGUACGUUUAAAUUAAUAAAAAUUCAAUGACACAAUUAUUAUGAAUUUUAAAAAUAUAAAAUAUGUUAUUCCAAACCUCUGUUGGUUUAGGGGUUGAUGUCCCCGACAUUGACGGAGUAGACGUAAGCUUCGAAGAAGAAACCGACACAGGAUCCGACCCGAUGGAUUCAGAAGAUCCAAAUGUCGGUGAUUCUUUAACCGAUGAUUCGUGAGUUGACUCGUCGUUAACCGUUGAGUUAAAACUCGAAGCCGGCGACGAAAAGCCAUCAGCGAACGAAACAUUCUCAGGAUUCUCAACGACCUCGACGGUCCACAAGAUCCAUUUCUUAUGCACGUGCGGCUCAUGAUCGUGCGUGACGGAGUUUUUCCACGGCGGCGAUCCACCGUUCCCGCGCAAAUAUGUCCCGUUCCACGACAUGAGUUUGACCGGCAACUCGUCUCUGAUCGGCUCCCAGUUGCUCUCGUGCUCCGCCUGACGAAACGGCGGCGUUUGGACGACUUUAUGGCCUGUGACACCGAGAAAGAACGACGACUCGCUCGCCGUUAGGUAUUUGCCGUAACAGCUCUUGAGACGGAUGAAAUUGGGCUUGCGUGGCACCAUCUCCACCGUCCAUACCGAUUGCCGUGACGUUCCGUCAGAGCUUUGACGGACGGCUUUUUCGUCGUCGACGGCGAAGAGGUAAUUUUCGUGACAGCUGCGUAAUCUAACGGCGGAACCUCUGGUGAAUAACUCCAUUUUUUCUUUCCCUCGUUUAGGACACGGCGAGAUUUUUUUGUUUUGAAAUGGUCGUAUGUUUUCUCCAUUUAUAUACGCUAUUUU